Molecule: small RNA, 121 nt
Filed under: unclassified sequences
Description: LOOT RNA
Rfam family: LOOT RNA
About the family: Latescibacteria, OD1/Parcubacteria, OP11, TM7.
Source: Rfam by way of RNAcentral
UGCCUAAACUCUGUUUAUAUAGGGCAUGGCACAAAAACCCAGUAAGAGAUGUUAAGCUCGUCGUCAGAGCACUCUUACUGGGUCAUAGCUCGAAAGAGUUAUGGGUGGCCGAAAGGCUAUC